This 506-nucleotide long non-coding RNA is filed under the name Gallus gallus (chicken). RNAcentral describes it as "lncRNA (ENSGALG00010018005.1)". The record is from RNAcentral. Lineage: Eukaryota; Metazoa; Chordata; Aves; Galliformes; Phasianidae.
GCGGGAAUUGCGCGUCCCGGUAUGCACCGUGCUCCGUGGCGAGACGGGCCUAUAAUGUGGCCCUCACGGUUCGGGUUCGUUUGUUUCAGAAGCUCGUUAAAGUUCGUUGUGUUAGGUGCGCGAAUCUCGCGGUUGUUCUGGAGCAGCACGACGUGCCUCAGACCGUAAGGUCCCGCCUACCGUGCAGUGAGUCGUUCACAGCUGCAGAAGGGAAAUCCCAACGACGUGAGUGAUUUUAUUUCAAAGCACACAGGUGAGCUCACCCAACUGCAGAAUUUGUACCAGCCACAGACAGCACAAGAACACAUUGGUGCCAUCAGUCUUCCCAGAACCGUUGGAGCAGCACAGAGUGCAGUAAUGGGCUUCACUGGAGCCACAGCCACAUCACACCCCAGACUUGCAAGGUGCUGUGUCAAUAUGCCAACUCCCUGAGAGCUGUCCUGCUGAUGAAGAGAGGACAAGAUUCCCAGACAGAGUAAGUUGAUCUGGCCCAGAAUUAAAUAAGG